This is a non-coding RNA of Cinara cedri, 216 nucleotides long. Lineage: Eukaryota; Metazoa; Arthropoda; Insecta; Hemiptera; Aphididae. The record is from the annotation of a GenBank genome assembly.
UUAUUUUAAUUUUCAAAAAAACGUGUAGGUUUAGUUUGAUAUAUUUGAUUUAUUAACAAACUAUAUAGGUAGGUGCAUUUAUAUAAUUUACUUCAGAUUUAUGAUAUUCGGUAAACGCGUGAAGUUAGAGAUAUUUUACGACGAAGAAAUAAUAAUAAUAAAAAGUGAUUAAAUUUUUGAAAUUGUGUUAAAAACACUCAAAUGAGCGAUGAAUUA